RNAcentral lists this ribosomal RNA (253 nucleotides) under uncultured bacterium. RNAcentral's name for it is "partial 16S ribosomal RNA". It matches the Rfam family "Bacterial small subunit ribosomal RNA", at positions 524 to 776 of the family's 1533-position model. The record is from RNAcentral.
UACGUAGGGGGCUAGCGUUGUCCGGAAUCAUUGGGCGUAAAGCGCGCGUAGGCGGCCCGGUAAGUCCGCUGUAAAAGUCAAAGGCUCAACCUUUGAAUGUCAGUGGAUACUGCCGGGCUAGAGUCCGGAAGAGGCGAGUGGAACUCCUGGUGUAGCGGUGGAAUGCGCAGAUAUCAGGAAGAACACCCGUGGCGAGAGCGGCUCUCUGGGACGGUACUGACGCUGAGACGCGAAAGCGUGGGGAGCGAACAGG